CAGCCUGAUGCAGCGACGCCGCGUGAGGGAUGACGGCCUUCGGGUUGUAAACCUCUUUCAGCAGGGACGAAGCGCAAGUGACGGUACCUGUAGAAGAAGGACCGGCCAACUACGUGCCAGCAGCCGCGGUAAUACGUAGGGUCCGAGCGUUGUCCGGAAUUACUGGGCGUAAAGAGCUCGUAGGUGGUUUGUCGCGUUGUUCGUGAAAACUCACAGCUUAACUGUGGGCGUGCGGGCGAUACGGGCAGACUUGAGUACUGCAGGGGAGACUGGAAUUCCUGGUGUAGCGGUGGAAUGCGCAGAUAUCAGGAGGAACACCGGUGGCGAAGGCGGGUCUCUGGGCAGUAACUGACGCUGAGGAGCGAAAGCGUGGGGAGCGAACAGGAUUAGAUACCCUGGUAGUCCACGCCGUAAACGGUGGGUACUAGGUGUGGGUUUCCUUCCUUGGGAUCCGUGCCGUAGCUAACGCAUUAAGUACCCCGCCUGGGGAGUACGGCCGCAAGGCUAAAACUCAAAGAAAUUGACGGGGGCCCGCACAAGCGGCGGAGCAUGUGGAUUAAUUCGAUGCAACGCGAAGAACCUUACCUGGGUUUGACAUGCACAGGACGUGCCUAGAGAUAGGUAUUCCCUUGUG
This 634-nucleotide ribosomal RNA is filed under the name Mycobacterium sp. Se3Ps_671. RNAcentral's name for it is "bacterial SSU rRNA". It matches the Rfam family "Bacterial small subunit ribosomal RNA", at positions 379 to 1022 of the family's 1533-position model. Lineage: Bacteria; Bacillati; Actinomycetota; Actinomycetes; Mycobacteriales; Mycobacteriaceae. The record is from RNAcentral.